Molecule: long non-coding RNA, 1682 nt
Organism: Clupea harengus (Atlantic herring)
Lineage: Eukaryota; Metazoa; Chordata; Actinopteri; Clupeiformes; Clupeidae
Source: Ensembl
CACACGCACACACACACCCACACACACACACACCCACACACACACACACACACACACACAGAUGAAGGUAGAGCUUUGAGAUGAGAGACACUCCCCACACUGAUGAAACCAGAUUGCAGGCAAACUCACACACACACACACACCCACACACACUCACACACACUGUUGAAGCCAGAUUGCAGGCCAACUCAUACUCACACACACACUCACACACUGAUGAAGCCAUGAUUGCGGGCAAAGUCACAGCCAACAGCAUAUUACUCAACUCUCAUCCAGUGGUCUGUUUGUGUGUGUUUGUGUUUAUGUGUGUGUGUGUGUGUGUGUGUUUAUGUGUGUGUGUGUGUUUAUGUGUGUGUGUUCUGAGUAAUACUGGGCUUCACUGAGGGGAUAGUGACAGCAAUGAUGAGAAGUCCGCUGUGGGCUAUAGCAUACAUGCAAGCUUGAUACACACACACACACAUGCACACACACACAGACACACACAUAGACACACACAUGCAUACACAUACACACUCAUUACACACAAACACACACACGCAAACACAAUCGUUACACACACACACACAGACACACACACACACUUGUUACACACAAACACACACACUCAUUACACACACAAAUGCAAACACAAUCAUUACACACACAGACACACACGCAAUCACAAUCGUUUUACACACACACACACUCAUUACACACACACACGCAAACACAAUCAUUACACACACACACACACACACGCAAACACAAUCGUUACACACACACACACAUACUCAUUACACACACACACACACACGCCAACACAAUCGGUAGACACACACACAAACACAAUCGUUACACACACACUCGUUACACACACACACACACUCGUUACACACACACACGCAAACACAAUCGUUACACACACACACACACUUGUUACACACACUUCAUACAUGUGCUGCCUGUGGACCCUUCCUGAGGACGUCUGCCCAUCACUCAUCUCGCCUCAGAGGUCAUGUGAUCAUGAUGCUGCCUCAGAGGUCAUGUGAUCAUGAUGCUGCCUCAGAGGUCAUGUGAUCAUGAUGCUGCACGUCUCAUCUUCAAAUUAAACUCUAACGGGGGAACACACCGGCAGAAUUCUCCUUCUACUGCAGCCUGUGGUUGGGCUGAACUGGCUAAUGCUAACCAACAAACACUUGUACCGUUAGCAGGUGGCUAAUGCUAACGUACAGACACUUGUACCCUUAGCAGGUGGCUAAUGCUAACAUGCAUACACUUGUACCCUUAGCAGGUGGCUAAUGCUAACAUACAGACACUUGUACCCUUAGCAGCUGGCUAAUGGUAAUGUACUUGUGCACUUGUACCCUUUGCAUGUGUGAUGUCGUAGAGAUCUCUUUGUGUGUCAAAGAGGUUUCCAUCUGCACUGAGCAGAGGUUCAUCCCUCUGGAGAGAUCAGAAAAGCUCCACUGUGUGUGUGUGUGUGUGUGUGUGUGUGUGUGUACUGUACAAAACUAUUUGUAUAUCACUGUUCAAGAAUGCUCAAGAAUGUAUAGCACCGUGUAAGAAUCCAACAUUUACCCGUGUGUGUGUGUGUGUGUGUGUGUCUUAGAGUGGUAUGUAUUCUGUUGUGUGUUUCUCCUCUAUCUGUGAGAGAAAUCUGUAAAUAAACAAUUAUAAAUAAUAGAAAAGCCUAUAGAAAAGCC